Leucoraja erinaceus (little skate) is the source of this 3370-nucleotide long non-coding RNA. RefSeq lists it as uncharacterized. The record is from RefSeq and is a predicted model, not a curated record. Lineage: Eukaryota; Metazoa; Chordata; Chondrichthyes; Rajiformes; Rajidae. The transcript has 3 exons.
UCUCUUACCUGCCUGUUGCGUGCGGCUCCUGAUGGGAGUGCUCCUUGGUCCAUCACCAGCGGCAUUGAAGGCACUCACGCUGAUGAGAGAUGCUGCCUGACCCGCAGAGUUACUCCAGCACUUUGUGGAUCUUUGGUAUCUACCGGCAUCUGCGGAUCCUUCCUACACAACGAAGAGUUCAUGUUCCCAGUCACUGACCCUCCAACAGAACUGGUAGAGUCUGCUGGCAUGGAAUAGUGUACUUAACCUUCAGUCUCACUGGCGCUGACUGGCAGAUGACCUCAAGGUCCAUCUCCACGGGCUGACUUUCCCACAACUCUGUUCUUCUAGUUUGUUGAUGCCACUCCAAGAAGCACAUCUCAGAAACAGGUCCCUCUAGUGGGACUCGGACACAUUGAUAAAGUGUUCUCUGCUAUCUCAGUCAAAGAGGAUGGAAACAGGUCCUUCAGUCCAACUCAUCCGUGCUGACCAAGAUGCCCAUCUAAGGUAGACCCAUUUGUCCAUGUUUGCCCAAUAUCAUUCUAAACCUUUCGUAUCUAUGUACCUAUCCAAAUGUCCUUUAAAUACUGGUGUUAACGUUGAUGAGGACUUUUAUUGUUGGAGGACAAAUUUACAUUGUGAACUUUAAUUUUUUAGCUUAGUUUAUUGUCACAUGUACAGUGAAAAGCUUUUUGUUGCAUGCUAACCAGUCAGCGGAAAGACUAUUCAUGUAUAUGAUUACAGUCGAUCAAUCUACAGUGUACAGAUACAGGAUAAAGGGGCUUUAUUUUUACAGAUGCCUCAUACUCUGAGAUGUUUCAGUGCACAAGUGCUUGGAAACUGACAGGACAAGUGAACCAUUAGUUAAUUUCAAUAUCCCAGCAUAGAAGCCCCGAAUGCACUCAUUUGAUGAGCUGGCUAAGCUGUGCAUGGAGACACAAGAGGCCGUACACUCUGGCCAUACCACAAGAGACUCAAAGAGUCUGGCAGCAUCCGUGGAGGGAAAGGAAUGGUUGGCGCUAUGGAUCGAAAGCCUGUAUCAGGACUUCUGUGGGCUCAGCGUGUUUUGUGUGAACAAAACAAGCAAGAUGAUGCCUCAACCAAAUCAGAUUGGAAAAAAAACCGGUGAUGGGACAUGUAGAGUCUAAACCAGGAUGCAGAAGUUAGAAUACUAGAAUACUCCGUCAUGAAUACAAGCUGAAAAAGUAUAAAAAUUGAAAUAUAAUUGGAAAUGAGGGAGCAAGGAGGAAAGAGAAAUCAAAACAGAUAGAAAGUUAAAGAAAACGCUCCAAUGAUAAUCAACAUUUGCAGGAAUGAGGCUCCAUGUACGGAGCAGGGGGAUGCUUCUAUUAUCAUUAAUCAAAAAGCCUUUGACAAGGUCCCACACAAGAGAGUAGUGUGCAAAAUUAGAGCACAUGGUAUUGGGGGUAGGGUAUUGACAUGGACAGGGAACUGGUUGGCGGACAGGAAGCAAAGAGUAGGAAUUAACGGGUAGAUUUCUGAUUGGCAGGCAGUGACUAAUGGAAUGCCGAAAGGCUCGGUGCUGGGAUACCAGUUGUUUACAAUAUUUAUUAACUAUUUAGAUGAGCGAAUUAAAUGUGACAUCUCCAAGAUAUCGGGUAACACAAAGCUGGGUGGCAGUGUGAGUUGCGAUGAGGAUGCUAUGAGGCGGCAGGGUGACUUGGAUAGGUUGGGUGAGUGGGCAGAUGCAUGACAGAUGCAGUAUAAUGUGGAUAAAUGUGAGGUUAUCCAUUUUGGUGGCAAGAACAGGAAGGCAGAUUAUUAUCUGUGCGGUGUUAGAUUAGGAAAAGGGGAGGUUCAACGAGAUCUGGAUAUCCUUGUAUAACAGUCAUGGAAAGUAAGCAUGCAGGUACAGCAGGCAGUGAAGAAAGCUAAUGGCAUGUUGGCCUUCAUUGCGAGAGGAUUUGAGCAAGGAGGUCCUACUGCAGUUGUACAAGGCCCUGGUGAGACCGCACCUGCAGCAUUGUGUGCAGUUUUGGUGUCCUAAUUUGAGGAAGGACAUUAUUGUUAUUGAGGGAGUGCAGCGUAGGUUCGCCAGGUUAAUUCCUGGGAUGGCAGGACGGACAUAUGAUGAACAUUGGGUCGACUGGGCUUGUAUUCACUGGAAUUUAGAAGGAUGAGAGGAGAUCAUAUAGAAAUAUAUAACAUUCUUAAAGGAUUGGACAGGCUAGAUGCAGGAAAAAUGUUCCCGAUGUUGGUGGAAUCCAGAACCAGGGGUCACUUUUUAAUAGACAAUAGACAAUAGGUGCAGGAGGAGGCCAUUCAGCCUUUCAAGCCAGCACCGUCAUUCAAUGUGAUCAAUGCUGAUCAUCCCCAAUCAGUGCCCCGUUAACCCGUUCCUGCCUUCUCCCCAUAUCCUGUGUCUCUGCUAUCGUUAAGAGUCCUAUUUAGCUCUCUCUUGAAAGUAUCCGGAGAACUGGCCUCCUUAAUUUAAGAAUAAGGGGUAGGCCAUUUAGGACUAAGAUUAGGAAAAAAAAAAUCACCCAGAGAGUUAUGAAUCUGUGGAAUUCUCUGUCACAGAAGGCAGUGGAGGCGAAUUCACUGGAUGUUUUCAAGAGAGUUAGAUUUAGCUCUAUGGGCUAAAGGAAUCAAGGGAUAUGGAGAAAAAGCAGGAACGAGGUACUGAUUUUAGACGAUCAGCCAUGAUCAUAUUGAAUGGUGAUGCUGGCUCAAAGGGCCGAAUGGCCUACUCCUGCACCUAUUUUCAAUGUUUCUAAUUCUUCAUGUGCAGCCAAUAUUUACCUGCAGUUGAGUAACCAAGUUGUAACUGGAAGGAUGGUGUGGAGUGUGGUAGGCAGGACAGAUAGAGACCUUUAUUUCCUUUACUGCCAGGUCUCUCAGUGAGGUAGAGGCAAAACAAAGUUUGUGGGGAAGCAGGAAAGAAGGUUUGUCUGUUUACUAUGUCUAAAUGGAAUAAUAUUAUGAAUGGGGUUGAGUGGAAAAAUGGAUCAGCCAUGAUCAAAUGGCAGAACAGGCUUGAAGGGCUAAACAGCCUAAUUCUCUUCCUAUAUUUAAUGAUCUUAUGAUCUAACGCUUGUGCAAAAUCCAGAAAGUUACUCUUUGAUUUAUUAUGUAGCAGUAAAUGUUGAGAGCCUUAGGAUUAUUGCUGCCACUAAAUCCAGGGCUUGAAUGGUUGUGUGAAACCUGUGACAGAGCUGAGGAAGUUUAGUGCUUGGUCAGAUAUUACCAUAGUACAGGUUAGUGCUGGAGUAACACACGAGGGUCAGGUAGCAUCUGUGGAGGACAUGGAUCGGUGACUGGGUCCUGAUCUCCAACUGUGAGUCGUCGCCUAUCCGUGUCCUCCAGAGAUGCUGCCUGACCCGCUGCGUAAACCGAGCACUUUGCUGGAUUUGACAGUCUCUUCAUGCCG